UCCCAAAAUGCAGAUUUACACUA
Molecule: non-coding RNA, 23 nt
Filed under: Cricetulus griseus (Chinese hamster)
Lineage: Eukaryota; Metazoa; Chordata; Mammalia; Rodentia; Cricetidae
Source: RNAcentral